UUUGGGCUAGGGGGUCAUCCCGACUUACCAAACCCAUGCAAACUCCGAAUACCGAGAAGUGCAAUUACGGGAGACACACGGCGGGUGAUAACGUCCGUCGUGGAAAGGGAAACAACCCAGACCAUCAGCUAAGGUCCCAAAAUUAUGGCUCAGUGGAAAACGAUGUGGGAAGGCCCAGACAGCUAGGAGGUUGGCUUAGAAGCAGCCAUCCUUUAAAGAAAGCGUAAUAGCUCACUAGUCGAGUCGGCCUGCGCGGAAGAUGUAACGGGGCUCAAACCAUGCACCGAAGCUACGGGUAUCACCUUUAGGUGAUGCGGUAGAGGAGCGUUCUGUAAGCCUGUGAAGGUGAGUUGAGAAGCUUGCUGGAGGUAUCAGAAGUGCGAAUGCUGACAUGAGUAGCGUUAAAGCGGGUGAAAAGCCCGCUCGCCGGAAGACCAAGGGUUCCUGUCCAACGUUAAUCGGGGCAGGGUGAGUCGACCCCUAAGGCGAGGCCGAGAGGCGUAGUCGAUGGGAAAUUGGUUAAUAUUCCAAUACUUCUAUGUAAUGCGAUGAGAGGACGGAGAAGGUUAAGUCAGCCUGGCGUUGGUUGUCCAGGUGGAAGGUUGUAGGCAUGUAUCUUAGGCAAAUCCGGGGUACUCUAUGCUGAGAACUGAUAGCAAGCUGUACUUGUACAGUGAAGUGGCUGAUACCAUGCUUCCAGGAAAAGUCUCUAAGCUUCAGUUACAUAGGAAUCGUACCCGAAACCGACACAGGUGGUCAGGUAGAGAAUACUAAGGCGCUUGAGAGAACUCGGGUGAAGGAACUCGGCAAAAU
This 813-nucleotide ribosomal RNA is filed under the name Thalassiosira minuscula. RNAcentral's name for it is "partial Bacterial large subunit ribosomal RNA". It matches the Rfam family "Bacterial large subunit ribosomal RNA", at positions 913 to 1723 of the family's 2925-position model. The record is from RNAcentral. Lineage: Eukaryota; Bacillariophyta; Thalassiosirophyceae; Thalassiosirales; Thalassiosiraceae.